RNAcentral lists this ribosomal RNA (1386 nucleotides) under metagenome. RNAcentral's name for it is "bacterial LSU rRNA". It matches the Rfam family "Bacterial large subunit ribosomal RNA", at positions 1516 to 2925 of the family's 2925-position model. The record is from RNAcentral.
UUAGGUUAUGAGAUGGGUAGAGAAGUUCGCCCGUUGAGCCGAGCUCUGAUAGUACCCUAAUGUUUAGGCAGAAGGGAUAAUGCAGCCAAGCGAACUUCCAAGAAAAGCCACUAAGCUUCAGCUAUACGGAGCCCGUACCGGAAACCGACACAGGUGUCCGAGGAGAAUAUCCUAAGGUGCUCGAGUGAUUCACGGCUAAGGAACUCGGCAAAUUGAUCUCGUAACUUCGGGAGAAGAGAUACCUACCCAGAGAUGGGAGGUCGCAGAGAAUAGGUCCAGGCAACUGUUUAACAAAAACACAGGGCACUGCUAAAUCGUGAGAUUAGGUAUAGUGCCUGACACCUGCCCGGUGCUGGAAGGUUAAGGGAGGGGGUCAGCCGCAAGGUGAAGCUCUUGACUGAAGCCCCAGUAAACGGCGGCCGUAACAAUAACGGUCCUAAGGUAGCGAAAUUCCUUGUCGGGUAAGUUCCGACCUGCACGAAUGGUGUAAUGAUCUGGACACUGUCUCGGCCGUGAGCUCGGUGAAAUUGUAGUAUCGGUGAAGAUGCCGAUUACCCGCAACGGGACGGAAAGACCCCGUGAACCUUCACUACAACUUAGCACUGUAUCUGGGUAAAUGAUGUGUAGGAUAGGUGGGAGGCUAUGAAGCUGUCACGCUAGUGAUGGUGGAGCCGACGUUGAAAUACCACCCUUUAUUUACUUAGAUACUAACUGGUCUAUAUGACUAGGACCCUGUUUGGUGGGUAGUUUGACUGGGGUGGUCGCCUCCUAAAGAGUAACGGAGGCUUCCAAAGGUACCCUCAGCAUGGACGGUAAUCAUGCGAAGAGCGUAUUAGUAUAAGGGUGCUUGACUGCGAGACCGACAAGUCGAGCAGGUAGGAAACUAGGGUAAAGUGAUCCGGUGGUUCUGUAUGGAAGGGCCAUCGCUCAAAGGAUAAAAGGUACUCCGGGAUAACAGGCUGAUCUCCCCCAAGAGCUCAUAUCGACGGGGAGGUUUGGCACCUCGAUGUCGGCUCGUCACAUCCUGGGGCUGGAGAAGGUCCCAAGGGUUGGGCUGUUCGCCCAUUAAAGUGGCACGCGAGCUGGGUUCAGAACGUCGCAAGACAGUUCGGUCCCUAUCUGUUGUGGGCGCAAGAGACUUGAGAGGUAUUAACAUUAGUACGAGAGGACCGUGUUGGACGAACCUCUGGUGUACCGGUUGUGGCGCCAGCUGCACCGCCGGGUAGCUAUGUUCGGCAUGGAUAAGCACUGAAAGCAUCUAAGUGCGAAGCCACCCUCAAGAUGAGGUCUCUGAUGAAGGGUCGUUGGAGAUUACGACGUUGAUAGGUUGCAGGUGUAAAGGUAGAGAUAUCAAAGCCGAGCAAUACUAAUAACCCGCGAGCUUGU